UACGGAGGGUGCGAGCGUUGUCCGGAUUUAUUGGGCGUAAAGAGCGUGUAGGCGGCCAGGUAGGUCUGCUGUGAAAACUCGAGGCUUAACCUCGAGCUGUCGGCGGAAACCAUCUGGCUAGAGUCCGGAAGAGGAGAAUGGAAUUCCCGGUGUAGCGGUGAAAUGCGCAGAUAUCGGGAAGAACACCCGUGGCGAAGGCGGUUCUCUGGGACGGUACUGACGCUGAGACGCGAAAGCGUGGGGAGCGAACAGG
This 253-nucleotide ribosomal RNA is filed under the name uncultured bacterium. Its description in RNAcentral is "partial 16S ribosomal RNA". It matches the Rfam family "Bacterial small subunit ribosomal RNA", at positions 524 to 776 of the family's 1533-position model. The record is from RNAcentral.